This is an RNA transcript of Drosophila santomea, 4364 nucleotides long. It is a transcript of the gene named putative thiamine transporter SLC35F3, with no coding region annotated. The transcript is spliced from 11 exons. The record is from RefSeq and is a predicted model, not a curated record. Lineage: Eukaryota; Metazoa; Arthropoda; Insecta; Diptera; Drosophilidae.
AAAAUCCUUAUCAGCUAAAAUCGCAAACCAAUUUAUUGAGUCCCUUGAAGCCGCCAAAUGCAGCGACAAAAGCCAAACUAAAACAAAAAGCAGCAGGCCCGUGAAAAGCGCAAAGAAAAUUCGUAACAAGUGUUUUUCUUUGCCAAGCCAAAGAGAGAGGAAUAGCGUAGCCCAGAGAGAGGGCUCUCGGCUGGGAGAGCCAGGAAAAGCUUUCGACUUGGCCGAAUGCGAGGCAUCUCAGUAAUCGCUUCAGUCGACUUUGAGAUUCCUGGCCAGAAACGACGGAGAACGAAGGUUUCCAGGACGGCCGCGUCGGGUGCUCUAGAAAAGGAUAGUUGGAAAAACGCCAGCGGCAGCUAGCGCCAGAAACGCUGCUGUCACAGUUUCCACCUAAGUCGAAGGAAAACAAGUGAAAAGGCAAAGGCUCGUUCAAGUGGCAGUUGCUUUUUUUGGGCCAAGCCAGCGGUUCGUUUCGCUCGACCGGAUCACUAUGAGCGACAAAGGAGCUCGGUAAUGGUGAUAGCAUGACGCGCGACGGCGAAAUUCCAGCCAUUUUCAAUCCGAAAAGAGUGCGCACUCCUUCCGUGGUGGUCACCGGCGACUCCUCGACGAAUGGACCGUACAGCAAUAACAGCACCGGCGGAGCGGGAGCCAGCAGCAGCACGGCAGUGGCCCCUGGAUCGUCUGCCCAGAACGGCAGCGGCAGUGGCAGCGGAGCAGCGGGCAGCUGCGGGUUCAGCAACGUGCUCACCUCGAGCAACCCGCAAAUAACCCACCAAGACUCGAUUUCGUCGAGCCAACAGGACCCCAAUGAGGUGAUCAUCAUCCCGGCGGACACGCCCACGAGCGCACCGGGCAGCCACAAUGCAGCACACCACUUUGGAGGCGGCGACUCCAGCGACACCCAGACGGAGCAGCAGCAAGCCAACGGGCACGGCGAGGAGUCAGAGCUUCGCUUUCGGAAGCUGCAAGCCUGCAAGGAGUCAUGCUGCUCCGAGCUGGCCCGAAAGAUGUACUUCGGAGUGUGCGUGACCAUCCUGAUGACCGCCUCGUGGGUGGGGGCCACCCAUUGCAUUAAGUACAUGUACAAGUACCGUGCUCCGUACGACGACUUGCUGAACGACGACCAGGACACUUCCUCGAGCCGAGCCGAUCUGAGCACGGAGCUGGAGGACAUACUGGCCAUCAGCGACUCGUCGCUGCACCACGUCGAGGACGCCACCGAGAUGUUCAACAUACCACCGCGCCAGCCGGUCUACUUCAGCGCCCCCUUCUUCGCCGCCUGGUUCUUCACCAACUUCUCGCUGCUCUUCUUCCCCAUCUACCUGCUGGGUCUGGUCUCCACCCGCAAGUGCGAGAAGCUGAGCGACAUCCUUGGCGAUGUGCUGCGAGGAUUCCGGGAGCGCGGCUUCACCGUGGGUCGCUUCCUCAAUCGCUGCCUCUGCUUCUGCAUUUUGUGGCUGGUCACCACCUACCUGUACACCCUCUCCCUGCACGUCCUCUACGCCACGGAUGCCCUGGCCCUGUUCGCCACCAACGUGGCAUGCGUGUACCUGCUAUCCUGGGUAAUCCUGCACGAGCAGUUCGUGGGCGUCAGAAUAGUGGCCAUUAUUCUUUGCGACACAGGAAUAGCGCUGCUAGCCUACAUGGAUGGAAUCACGGAAAGCCGAACCCUGAGCGGCGUGGUCCUGGCCACAUUGGCCGGAGCUGGCUAUGCCGUGUUUAGGGUUAUGUUCCGCAAGGUGAUGGGCGAUCCGCCGGUGAGCCAAAUCGCCUUCAUAUUCACCGCACUCGGCUUUCUCAACGCCCUGCUGCUGUGGCCCGUGGUGCUGGGACUCUACCUGACUGGCACGGAAAGCCUCACCUCGGAGAGCAUACCCUGGAACCUGCUGUUCGCGGCGAGCCUCCUGCUCCUUGUUUUCCACGUUCUGAUGCAGUUCAGUGCCGCCGUUACGUACAACAUGUUUGUGACAUUGGGUCUGAUUACGGCUGUGCCCGUUUCUGGCGCCCUCGAUGUCAUACUGUACAGUGCGAACUUUGCUGGCAUGAAACUGGCCGGAGUUAUCCUGAUUGGCAUCGGUUUUUUUCUCGUCAUGUUUCCCGCCAACUGGCCAGACUAUAUAACGCGAUUGUUGCGAAGCAUCAUAAUGUUGGGUCACAAUGCGAGGAAUACCUUACUCUAAAUACCCAGCCCAUACCGAGACAAGCAAUCAACAAACUUACUAAUAUAUUUAUCAAAAUCCAACUGUAAGCGAAGUAUGUUUUUCAUUCGAUUUCGUUAUAAUCCUUAGUCAACUCUUGCCUAGACUUUUGAUAAUUCGGGUUUGAUUUGGUUUCGUUUGGUUUGAUUAGGAUUGCAAGUGAAUCUCCUCACCUUACAUCUCGCAUCUAAGUUUUGAUUUCCACAUCCUUUUCGUAAGCUAAUCUGAGUAACAGUAUGAUAGCAUUUGAUUAAUAAGUAAAGUUUGACCGAGUAGUCCCGGUCUGCCAGAUUUCGGUUAACUCUAUUUUUGGCCCAGUGCUAAGGUAAGUCGAUCCGAGAGUCUGCAUUGCCCACCGCCAGCCAAAGUCACCUCACAUAAAGUGCAUCGAUGGGAUGCGAAUGACAGACUCACCCAAUCACCCAAGAACCACCAACCCACCCACUCACUUUCGGAGACACCGGAGUAAAUGCAAUGAUCAUGAUCUUCCGUUGAACCGUUUCUUGUAUGAUAUUCUUUUUCGAGGCCAUCUGAAAUCGAUUGCUGGUUGUCAACGAUGCAGCGGCCAAGGACUCACGCCCAUUUCGAGAACGUUCUCACAAAACAGCUUAGCCGCUGUAUCGUUUACAAACGUUGUUCAGAGAUCUAGCAGCUCUCUAGCAGUAGAGUCUCCUUAUUUGUAUAUAGUAACACCGCUAAUCUGUACUAUUGCUUCUUUUCUUCUUGUUUUUCUUCUUCACCUCCACAACCUGCCUAUCUCUCUUUCUCUCUCUUUCUCUAUGUGUUUCUCUGGACUAUCUCCUCUUCUCGAACUGUUCUUUCUCUUUCUUCACACACCUACACCAAACACGUACACACAACUGGACGGAACCUGGCCAAAUUGAAUGACCUACGUUGCAAAAAUAAAAAAAAACUACACCGCAAAAAACUGUUGUACCUGACCCCACACAUUAAAUCCAUGUAGCGGUAGGCCAGCGCUUUGUAAACGAGAUGCUAUAGUCACAGGACCGUCCACCAGAUAUGCGCAGCGGCACAUCACGCGCACGCACCAUAUAAGCUAAGAGUUUUGGACAAGUCACUGAAUUGUACAGAAAACCAAAUAAGAAAACAGAACAAGACAAGAUAUAUUUUGUAAAAAGAUUUUCAAAAAAAGAAACUUAAAACCAAAGAAAAACUCUAACAAUCGAAUGCACCACUUGCCAGAUCGGGAUCGCAGCAUAUAUAUGCUACCCAUUACAAACAUAAACGAAAGUAUUACGCGGUCAAAACCGACUCAUAUGUUGUUUGAUCCAAUCGCAUGAAUGAUACCAAAAAAAAACAAACCAGCGUGUGGCUUCCGACUGUUUUCGCUUAGGCCCCUGUGCCACUGCCACGCCCACGCAACUCCCCAGAAAACCCAAAAAGUUUUUACAACUGUUAUGCGACUGUUAGGAACACUUUUGUACCAAACUACGAUAAGUCCCAUUCAAGUUUCCGACUGAGAAACUCAAACGAACGAACGGUGAGAGCAUCAUACGAUUAUUUUCGAUCAACUCCUGAAUCACUAGCUGCACCCCCAAUCCUCCAUGUACAGCUCACUAGAUCAAUCACUAUCCCAAAAUCAAAUAAAGGUUGAAAAGUUGUUGAAUCUUUUUUAAGUUCCGUUUGCUUUGUAACGUUACAGCUUGCCUAUGUUGUUGAGAAGUAUCUUUACUAUUCAAGCUACUUAUGAACUUUGGAGAGCACCGCUUAAUGUAACUAUUUCGGCACCCGUAACUUAAUACCCCGCUUUAGCCCUAAACACCAAAAUCCACACACACUCCACACACAACAACAACCCCACACAAAACACACGAUGUAUUUGUAAAAUAUAAAAGAAAAACACAGAACAUCAGUAAAAAAUCCGUAAAAGUCUUAGCGCUUAGGCUAUUGAAUGCGGGCACUGGAGACACGUGAUUCCACCCGGAACCCAAGUUCCGAGAAGUCCGCACAACCUGCAGUGCCCAGUCCUAAAAGAUAUAGUCAUGCAAGCGCUUACUCUAUGUAAAUGUGAGUGUACGUAGCGCCUUAGAGCUAAACACCUAAGAAAUGCCUAGAAAGUAACUAAAACUAAUGCCAAGCAGAAGAGAUCCCUACCCAGAUAGCUAGCCCAGCCGAUACUAACAGUUGACACUUUGUCUUCCA